RNAcentral lists this ribosomal RNA (245 nucleotides) under uncultured bacterium. Its description in RNAcentral is "partial 16S ribosomal RNA". It matches the Rfam family "Bacterial small subunit ribosomal RNA", at positions 94 to 339 of the family's 1533-position model. The record is from RNAcentral.
AGUGGCGAACGGGUGAGGAACACGCGAGAAACCUGCCUUUCAUUCUGGGAUAACUCCGGGAAACCGGGGCUAAUACCGAAUAUUGAAACAUAAGUGGCAUCACUGAGUUUUGAAAGAAUUUCGGUGGAGGAUGACUUCGCGGCCUAUCAGCUAGUUGGUGAGGUAAUGGCUCACCAAGGCAACGACGGGUAGCCGGCCUGAGAGGGCGACCGGCCACACUGGGACUGAGACACGGCCCAGACUCC